UACAGAGGGGGCAAGCGUUGUUCGGAAUUACUGGGCGUAAAGGGCGCGUAGGCGGCCUGUUAAGUCGAACGUGAAAUCCCCGGGCUCAACCCGGGAACUGCGUCCGAUACUGGCAGGCUUGAAUCCGGGAGAGGGAUGUGGAAUUCCAGGUGUAGCGGUGAAAUGCGUAGAUAUCGGGAGGAACAUCAGUGGCGAAGGCGGCCAUCUGGACUGACACUGACACUGAGACACGAAAGCGUGGGGAGCAAACAGG
RNAcentral lists this ribosomal RNA (253 nucleotides) under uncultured bacterium. RNAcentral describes it as "partial 16S ribosomal RNA". It matches the Rfam family "Bacterial small subunit ribosomal RNA", at positions 524 to 776 of the family's 1533-position model. The record is from RNAcentral.